This 1570-nucleotide ribosomal RNA is filed under the name Escherichia fergusonii. RNAcentral describes it as "partial 23S ribosomal RNA". It matches the Rfam family "Bacterial large subunit ribosomal RNA", at positions 614 to 2167 of the family's 2925-position model. The record is from RNAcentral. Lineage: Bacteria; Pseudomonadati; Pseudomonadota; Gammaproteobacteria; Enterobacterales; Enterobacteriaceae.
AAUGGGUCAGCGACUUAUAUUCUGUAGCAAGGUUAACCGAAUAGGGGAGCCGAAGGGAAACCGAGUCUUAACUGGGCGUUAAGUUGCAGGGUAUAGACCCGAAACCCGGUGAUCUAGCCAUGGGCAGGUUGAAGGUUGGGUAACACUAACUGGAGGACCGAACCGACUAAUGUUGAAAAAUUAGCGGAUGACUUGUGGCUGGGGGUGAAAGGCCAAUCAAACCGGGAGAUAGCUGGUUCUCCCCGAAAGCUAUUUAGGUAGCGCCUCGUGAAUUCAUCUCCGGGGGUAGAGCACUGUUUCGGCAAGGGGGUCAUCCCGACUUACCAACCCGAUGCAAACUGCGAAUACCGGAGAAUGUUAUCACGGGAGACACACGGCGGGUGCUAACGUCCGUCGUGAAGAGGGAAACAACCCAGACCGCCAGCUAAGGUCCCAAAGUCAUGGUUAAGUGGGAAACGAUGUGGGAAGGCCCAGACAGCCAGGAUGUUGGCUUAGAAGCAGCCAUCAUUUAAAGAAAGCGUAAUAGCUCACUGGUCGAGUCGGCCUGCGCGGAAGAUGUAACGGGGCUAAACCAUGCACCGAAGCUGCGGCAGCGACGCUUAUGCGUUGUUGGGUAGGGGAGCGUUCUGUAAGCCUGCGAAGGUGUGCUGUGAGGCAUGCUGGAGGUAUCAGAAGUGCGAAUGCUGACAUAAGUAACGAUAAAGCGGGUGAAAAGCCCGCUCGCCGGAAGACCAAGGGUUCCUGUCCAACGUUAAUCGGGGCAGGGUGAGUCGACCCCUAAGGCGAGGCCGAAAGGCGUAGUCGAUGGGAAACAGGUUAAUAUUCCUGUACUUGGUGUUACUGCGAAGGGGGGACGGAGAAGGCUAUGUUGGCCGGGCGACGGUUGUCCCGGUUUAAGCGUGUAGGCUGGUUUUCCAGGCAAAUCCGGAAAAUCAAGGCUGAGGCGUGAUGACGAGGCACUACGGUGCUGAAGCGACAAAUGCCCUGCUUCCAGGAAAAGCCUCUAAGCAUCAGGUAACAUCAAAUCGUACCCCAAACCGACACAGGUGGUCAGGUAGAGAAUACCAAGGCGCUUGAGAGAACUCGGGUGAAGGAACUAGGCAAAAUGGUGCCGUAACUUCGGGAGAAGGCACGCUGAUAUGUAGGUGAAGCGACUUGCUCGUGGAGCUGAAAUCAGUCGAAGAUACCAGCUGGCUGCAACUGUUUAUUAAAAACACAGCACUGUGCAAACACGAAAGUGGACGUAUACGGUGUGACGCCUGCCCGGUGCCGGAAGGUUAAUUGAUGGGGUUAGCGGUAACGCGAAGCUCUUGAUCGAAGCCCCGGUAAACGGCGGCCGUAACUAUAACGGUCCUAAGGUAGCGAAAUUCCUUGUCGGGUAAGUUCCGACCUGCACGAAUGGCGUAAUGAUGGCCAGGCUGUCUCCACCCGAGACUCAGUGAAAUUGAACUCGCUGUGAAGAUGCAGUGUACCCGCGGCAAGACGGAAAGACCCCGUGAACCUUUACUAUAGCUUGACACUGAACAUUGAGCCUUGAUGUGUAGGAUAGGUGGGAGGCUUUGAAGUGUGG